GGGCUCAUAGCUCAGUGGCUAGAGUGCCCGCUUUGCAAAAGCAUUAAAAUAUUGCGGGAGGUCCGGGUUUCGAUCACCCGUGGGUCCA
This is a non-coding RNA of Viridothelium virens, 88 nucleotides long. The record is from the annotation of a GenBank genome assembly. NCBI's taxonomy places the organism in Eukaryota, Fungi, Ascomycota, Dothideomycetes, Trypetheliales, Trypetheliaceae.